RNAcentral lists this unclassified non-coding RNA (363 nucleotides) under uncultured bacterium. Its description in RNAcentral is "contains 16S-23S intergenic spacer region". The record is from RNAcentral.
UCCCUGUUACCAGGGCAGUCUGAUUAGAAAAAUUCAACUAAUCACAAGGGUUGCGCUCGUUGAUGGACUUAACCAAACAUCUCACGACACGAGCUGACGACGGCCAUGCAACACCUGUCACUUGGCUCAAUAAAGCACUCUCUGCUUUCGCAGAAAUUCCAAGGAUGUCAAACCUGGGUAAGGUUCUUCGCUUACCAUCGAAUUAAAGAACACACUCCACCGCUUGUGCGGGUCCCCGUCAAUUCCUUUAUGUUUUAAGCUUGCGCUCGUACUCCACAGGCGGGAUGCUUAACGCGUUAGCUUCGCUACUUCCCGGGUCGAUACGGAAAACAGCUAGCAUCCAUCGUUUACGGCGUGGACUAA